AAGAAAGUGAGAAAUAGGACUCAGCGAUAAAACUCUAUCAAUAUAUAUCACGAUAAACAUGUAAUUGAUGUUAAUGCAUUCAAUUUUUUGUUGUUGUUUUUUUCCAGAUGAACUCGGAAGUUGCUAAGCAAGGUCGGUUGCAUGAACAAAGGCACUCGCUCUCUGGUAACCAAGCAACGCAGGAAGUGAUCACUGACCAGCGGGAGUGACAGGCUAACAGCCAAUCAGUUUCAGAAAUUCCUCAGUAAAAUUCACCAAGACGUCACUGUGGAGUUAUUGAGUCUGUUCAGCUGAUUGGAGAGCUAGCUUCCGCAGCUAGUGGGUCCAUGACGAUGACUUCUGUUUUGUUCGAUCAGCCGUUUUACUGCCGUGUUACAGACACCGUUUGGAAACAAUUAAGGACUUCAACGGCGGUGCUGUACCUGGUUGUGCUGCCAAAGCCACAUGACAUCAUAUGGCAACUGGAAAUGGAUCCUCUUCAGCCUCAAGUACUUCCCUGCGAGACACAAGAGGAGUCGGGAUGAGAGCGUUCCAAACCUGACGGCCACACUUUGGCCUCGUGUCGACUCACCAACAUGGAUGG
Molecule: long non-coding RNA, 583 nt
Organism: Nerophis lumbriciformis (worm pipefish)
Lineage: Eukaryota; Metazoa; Chordata; Actinopteri; Syngnathiformes; Syngnathidae
Source: RefSeq, a predicted model, not a curated record